Molecule: ribosomal RNA, 468 nt
Filed under: uncultured bacterium
Lineage: Bacteria
Description: partial 16S ribosomal RNA
Rfam family: Bacterial small subunit ribosomal RNA
Source: RNAcentral
GACGAACGCUGGCGGCGUGCUUAACACAUGCAAGUCGAACGGAAAGGCCCUGCUUUUGUGGGGUGCUCGAGUGGCGAACGGGUGUGUAUCACGUGAGUAUCCUGCCCUUGACUUUGGGAUAACUUCAGGAAACUGGGGCUAAUACCGGAUAGGAGCUCCUGCUGCAUGGUGGGGGUUGGAAAGUUUCGGCGGUUGGGGAUGGACUCGCGGCAUAUCAGCUUGUUGGUGGGGUAGUGGCUUACCAAGGCUUUGACGGGUAGCCGGCCUGAGAGGGUGACCGGCCACAUUGGGACUGAGAUACGGCCCAGACUCCUACGGGAGGCAGCAGUGGGGAAUAUUGCACAAUGGGCGGAAGCCUGAUGCAGCAACGCCGCGUGCGGGAUGACGGCCUUCGGGUUGUAAACCGCUUUCGCCUGUGACGAAGCGUGAGUGACGGUAAUGGGUAAAGAAGCACCGGCUAACUACGUG